This is a long non-coding RNA of Crotalus tigris (Tiger rattlesnake), 1128 nucleotides long. RefSeq lists it as uncharacterized. The record is from RefSeq and is a predicted model, not a curated record. NCBI's taxonomy places the organism in Eukaryota, Metazoa, Chordata, Lepidosauria, Squamata, Viperidae. The transcript is spliced from 3 exons.
UCAAAAGCGGAAGAGGAUGGAGAAAAUUGGGAAAUUGGUGAUACUUUCUCUCUUGUGUUUUAAAAGAACAGCGAUUGCUUUUCGUAAGGCUAUUGUUGUCGGGAGCAUUCUGUAAAAGUCAGGACUGAUUGAAAAUGAGUUGGGUGGAUUAAAACUGCUUAUAAUUUGGAAGAUCUUGCCGGGAAGGGACGAUUAAAAAACUGAAAAACAGAUCUUGCUACAGUGGGUAACUUCUAAACAAGAUACUUAAGAAGGAAAAAAACAUUUACCUACUUGAAGCUCCAACUUCUUGAUCAAAGAGAAGGGCAGGGAAGACCAAUUGUUUCUUUUACAGAAGUGAGUCAAUUAUAUUCUGGAUAGAAUUGUCAAGCUAUUUUUUUGUGGGAGAAAGACUAUCAACCAUUGUUCUGUUAAUGCUUUCUGGUUAUCUACCUAUAUACUGCUAAAACACUUGUUCCCAUAACCUUUAACUGGACAACAUGCUGCAUUUUGUCAACAGUAUUCAACCAAGGUACCUCAAAUGGGCUAACUUAUAAAAAGCGUCCAAAAUUCAGGACCUAUCAUUUCCAAAAGAAAGAAAUUGUGCCUGUUUCAGUGCUGCUUGGGCUGCUGCUAAUUUAUUUUAUAUUCACUUUUAAGAAUACAAAUUCUUACAAUGAAGCCAUAAACAAUUUAAGUUCCUUGUUUUAUCUACUACUCAUUUUACUUAUUGUUAUGGUCAAAAAUUACUUACCUCAAAAAAGAGAAGCAAUGCAUAAUUUAGGACAAAGUGUAACAUAUAGAGAGACCAUAAGUGUAUUUUGCAAAUUAUCUGAAGGAACAGAUAAUUUCUGAUGACUUACACCUAAAUGACCUGCCUUAAUCUACCUAAAGACAAAAAAGCAAGUAAUAAAUCAAAUUGCCUCCCAAUGAUCAGUAUAAAAUUUUAAAAAUCAUCAAAAUAAUUUUAUUGGUAGUAUGGUUUAUUGGGGGGCAUAGUCCAACUCAGCAUUCCAAAAGGAAGCAUCUUUGUCAGUUCCAAUUGGCCUUGAGAUAAUCAGAAGAAAAUCACAAAAUAGGCUUCACUGAAUUAUCAUGACAUCAAAUAUACAGUAACUGUUGCCAUAACUGCUCUGUAUUUCAAAUUAU